GGACCUCCCUGGACAUCAAGAUGGAAGAGCAAAUAGUUUCUCAUGCUGGAGAAAUGCUCUCCAGUGUGGUGGUCGUAUCUUGUAAGGAUUCAGUCCCACAUCAAGUAGUGUCUUUGACAAUGGAAGGAAUUGCAAUCCCCCAGCUCAGUGCCAAAAGUGUGGGCAGUUUUGAAGCUUUUUAUAAUUCCAUUAAACCUAUCCAGAUUAUCAACAGUGCCAUAGAAAGGAUGAAGCCAGGGAAAUUUCCCUAUGGCAAAACAAAUUUAUUUCGCAUUUCUUCUGUAUGUGAGGGGUAACAAAGUUCUGUAUGAGACUUAUUAUCAGACAUUCAGUAUACACUACGCUGUGACAUGAGGCAGUCUCUGUUGACCAAGGACUUGACAAAGGCCGGUGAAUUUACCAUCCACUCUGCUCCUCAGGAGGGGAAGUUGACUCCAAGUCCUGUGGACUUCACAGAUUAUACCUGCAACCUUACAGAAUAUCAAAGAGAGAGCCUUGCUCCCCAGAUUUCUCAUUCGAGAACACCCCAACUCAAUGAAUUGUGUCAUCGUGCAGCUGCUUACAGGAGAGCUGGUGGUGAAAAGGCAUGGGGCUGCAACUGGUGCACAUGGAGACCUGUGGGUGUGCAAAAAGCUAUGCCAAUGAUGCCACAGAGUUUCCUUAUAUUCAGAUGCCCAUGGGGACAUUUGUAGGGGCCUCUCUGUCCCUAUAUACAUGGUCUUCUCCAGGCUGUUUACCUGCCGCAUGCUGAAGACCAACUUCAAAGUGGAAUUUGAGGCCACCAUCGACAUGCGUCUUCAUGCUAACCACCUGGUCACAGAGAACUUCCUAUUGCAGCUCUGCAGG
RNAcentral lists this long non-coding RNA (846 nucleotides) under Homo sapiens (human). Its description in RNAcentral is "non-protein coding lnc-MDH1B-6:1". Lineage: Eukaryota; Metazoa; Chordata; Mammalia; Primates; Hominidae. The record is from RNAcentral.